Long non-coding RNA from Rhipicephalus microplus (southern cattle tick), 799 nucleotides. The record is from RefSeq and is a predicted model, not a curated record. Lineage: Eukaryota; Metazoa; Arthropoda; Arachnida; Ixodida; Ixodidae.
GGAUACACGUGUUACCCAUAGUUGAUUUUCGGUGAAGAAAAACCAUUUUUUCCCGCAGAUUCAAGAUAAGAUGGUAGCGGCGAGGCUCCGGAACGUCCCAAGAAGAAUCGAGGGUGGUUUUAGAGGUUUUUGCCCGCAUUAUCGCCGACCUGCUACUGCCUGCCUUGCUGGCUGUAUCGUCUGCCACCCCGGGAAGCCGCCUACCUGCUACCAACGAAGGCGAACAUUUUGUUUGCCCCCUCCCUGGCACCCAUGCUUCCGGAUCUUCGGCAGCGCCACCCCUCCUUCCGUGGAUCGUCGAGAUAAAUCCAGCCACCCUAUCGCCGUCGACAACAUCCCCUGCGCAGCCUAUAAAGCAGCAGCCACCAUCCAGCGCGCACUGUGGGCUUCGCGGCUGUGCCACCAAACAGGCCGCUAACCCGUUCCUCCUGAUCAUGCAGGUUGGUAGUUCGUAUCCCACGUCUACUAAAAAAUCAAGUAACUACUGUUUGGUGCAGCUGCCGAGCCCACAGUGCUGCUGCUUGCUUGUUACCGAAUGUGUGAAUGUCGUACGUGCCUCGCUCUUGCUAUCGGGAGAUGUAGGGACGAACCCCGGGCCAGAUAUACUCGCUGAGCUGAAAAAGUUGUCGCAGGGCCAGUCGGCAAUAUUAUCUGAGAUGCAGGGUCUUAAAUCUCAGAUAGCCACCACAAACCAGACUAUCACCGAUCUUGGAAAUCGUAUUGCUGACUUGGAAAAUCACUGCCAAAAUCUUCUAACCCUUCGAGCGAAAGUAGAUGCAAUAAAUACUAAUACCACUGA